AUUGAACGCCGGCGGCAGGCUUAACACAUGCAAGUCGAGCGGGGUGAUGGUGCUUGCACUAUCACUUAGCGGCGGACGGGUGAGUAAUGCUUAGGAAUCUGCCUAUUAGUGGGGGACAACAUCUCGAAAGGGAUGCUAAUACCUCAUACGUCCUACGGGAGAAAGCAGGGGAUCACUUGUGACCUUGCGCUAAUAGAUGAGCCUAAGUCGGAUUAGCUAGUUGGUGGGGUAAAGGCCUACCAAGGCGACGAUCUGUAGCGGGUCUGAGAGGAUGAUCCGCCACACUGGGACUGAGACCCGGCCCAGACUCCUACGGGAGGCAGCAGUGGGGAAUAUUGGACAAUGGGGGGAACCCUGAUCCAGCCAUGCCGCGUGUGUGAAGAAGGCCUUAUGGUUGUAAAGCACUUUAAGCGAGGAGGAGGCUCUUUUGGUUAAUACCCAAGAUGAGUGGACGUUACUCGCAGAAUAAGCACCGGCUAACUCUGUGCCAGCCGCCGCCGUAA
This 503-nucleotide ribosomal RNA is filed under the name uncultured bacterium. Its description in RNAcentral is "partial 16S ribosomal RNA". It matches the Rfam family "Bacterial small subunit ribosomal RNA", at positions 30 to 523 of the family's 1533-position model. The record is from RNAcentral.